GUGCCAGCAGCCGCGGUAAUACGUAGGUGGCAAGCGUUGUCCGGAAUUAUUGGGCGUAAAGCGCGCGCAGGCGGUCCUUUAAGUCUGAUGUGAAAGCCCACGGCUCAACCGUGGAGGGUCAUUGGAAACUGGGGGGACUUGAGUGCAGAAGAGGGAAAGCGGAAUUCCACGUGUAGCGGUGAAAUGCGUAGAGAUGUGGAGGGAACACCAGUGGCGAAGGCGGCUUUCUGGUCUGUAACUGACGCUGAGGCGCGAAAGCGUGGGGGAGCAAACAGGAUUAGAUACCCUGGUAGUCC
RNAcentral lists this ribosomal RNA (296 nucleotides) under uncultured microorganism. RNAcentral describes it as "partial 16S ribosomal RNA". It matches the Rfam family "Bacterial small subunit ribosomal RNA", at positions 505 to 796 of the family's 1533-position model. The record is from RNAcentral.